UGUGACAUGCAAUUACUCGAUGGGUAAAAGAGUCCGAUAAUCGAACAGAUAUGAGUACAAAUAAAAUUUAUACAUUGGAAGAAAAAUCAUCCCUUACAAAAUAUUUGAUGUUUAGAUACACUUGAGGCCAAGAAGAUGGCUAACCAAAAUAUACACAACAUUAUUCCAGCCACUUCUAACAUUACAAAAAGAAUAGUUCAUGUGAUAUCCCAAAUACUUAAUGGAUAAAAGGGAAUCAACUACUUAAGUAGUUACUAGUGCUAAAAAGAAUUUUUGACAUUGAAGCGGAAAUUAGAAAUCCCUUACAGAACAAACUAAGUUUUAAGGACUUACAUCAAAGACCAUAAUUUGGCAGUCUUAAUUAAUUGAAUACAAAAGUGGAGUUCUUACAGAAUUUUUACAUCAGAAUGCAGAAUAACUAUUAUACUCGAAUUAUAUCGUAAAAAAUUACUAAGGAUCCGUGGAUGGUUCUAAUCAAACUUCGAGAUAACUCGGAGAGUAAAUCCUCAACUUACUCAGUAUCUAGGGGGGCACGAAUUAGGAGCGAGUUCUCUAUAAACUCAGUAAGGGAAACGAUAUUUACAUCACACGGCUAAGUUUUAAAAAGUAAACAACUUGAAUAAUACUUUAUGUACCUCCUACUUCGGAGAACUGUUGUGGGAUAAAGAUAUUUAAUUAUUCAGAAAAAUCUUUUAUUAUUAAGGAAAUCCGG
RNAcentral lists this long non-coding RNA (712 nucleotides) under Carica papaya (papaya). Its description in RNAcentral is "long non-coding RNA (CPAP_LNC013977)". Lineage: Eukaryota; Viridiplantae; Streptophyta; Magnoliopsida; Brassicales; Caricaceae. The record is from RNAcentral.